AUAGCAAAUGUAAUUUUAUUUCAUAUAUAUUUUAUUUUAAUUUGUCAAUUGCUUAUGAUUAAUUAAUUAAUAUCUAUAAGCAUAAGUUUAUAAUAUGUUAGUGUUGUAGUUCUUGAGAUAGAAGUUGAUCGUUGCUUUCCUUAUAUCUAGUUCCCUAAAAGUUUUCGCUUCGAUCUCUCAAAGUUUUCCCUCAGUCUUGGUUCCGAGUGACCUGAUAAGUGAAACAAAAGAUGCAGUGAUUCUCCUUUCAGCUUUUUCAUGAGUUGACUCUUUUAUGGGUUAAGGCAAUUAUGACCAUGUCUUACUCCCUUGGACUGAACACGUGAAAUAAAAAAUCCAAUUGUGCCCGUGUAUGGAACAUGGAUAAGACAGUCAUAUCACGCAAUUGGGGCUAAUAUCAAAUAAAGUGGUUUGGCUUUACGAUGCCAUGAUCAGACCUAUUAUCAUCAAUGGGUGUUUCGUUUGGGAACAUACAAAGAAAUGUGGAAUGAAGACAUUAAACACUAUUCAAAGAAAGGUACUUCUGGGUAUGACUCACACCCUAGGAUCAAUGCAAAUUGCCGCAAUAGAGGCUUCUUUUGUUGUCAACCUCAUUGAUCUCCACAUAGAAGCACAAGCAACAGAUUCAAGAUAGAGAACAAGGCAUUUCCUACGGGACACCUGGGAUGACAUUAGUAUCCUACCAAGGGGCCGUGGGCAUCGUUUCUCCUGUGAUAAAAUACUUCAUCGAACUAAAUUGAAACAAGCAAGUGACUUUUUUCUUAUUGGGAUCAACAACUUUCAAAUUGACAACUCUGACGGUUAUAAACACAGACGAAUCCAAAAGAUGAACAAGGUGGUACAGCUCCAGGAUGGGCUAUCACUCAAGGAAAUAUGUUCAUUCACCAAUCAUCGACCUCUUUGAACAACGUGUUAUCGGUAAUUCAAGCAGAAGUAUUCACCCUCUCACAAUCAGUGGCCAUCUUCUCAACCAAGAUAAACUUUUAAAAAAGGUUAUUACUCGAUCAGAUUCCCAAUCAGCACUUUCGUGAUAUUUUAAAUUCUGUACUACAAGUUAUUAAGUCAAAAAGUCCAAAAAAAUAUUGAAGAGUAGAGAAAAUGAAAAAUAUAUAUAUCUUGAAUGGUGCAAGGGGCAUAAUCAUGAGACAGGAAAUCAGAUUGCAGAUUACCUAUAAAAAAUAAGCACUAAGAAUAAAAAUCAAAAAGUUUGUUGGAGUGCAUAAAAGCCUAACUAAGUACAGACCAAAUUAUGUAACAAAUACACAUUAUCCGAGACAAAGCCAAAGAUUUUCAAACUUGGGCGUGACCAGAUAAAACUUUAACUACUUACGAAAGUCACGGGCUAUUUCUUGCUCACCUGAGUAAAUAGAAAAAUAUGAAGAAGUUCGUAUUCUAAAAUUCCUCAAAUGUUUAAACAUGAAAAACAUUCUUGAUAACAAUUUUAAUGUCUAACUAAAUAGGUAGGAUCUGCUGUAGUAGCCAAAUACCCUAAUGUUGAUUGUGUUCUUUAUCUUAAUGUUUUCUUUUUGUUAAUGUAUAAUAUCCUACGGUAAACAACAAUAAAUGUUAACUAGCUAACUA
This 1581-nucleotide long non-coding RNA is filed under the name Lepeophtheirus salmonis (salmon louse). Its description in RNAcentral is "uncharacterized LOC121116732". Lineage: Eukaryota; Metazoa; Arthropoda; Copepoda; Siphonostomatoida; Caligidae. The record is from RNAcentral.